CGCGGCCUAUCAGCUUGUUGGUGAGGUAAUGGCUCACCAAGGCAUCGACGGGUAGCUGGUCUGAGAGGACGAUCAGCCACACUGGGACUGAGACACGGCCCAGACUCCUACGGGAGGCAGCAGUAGGGAAUCUUGCGCAAUGGGGGCAACCCUGACGCAGCAACGCCGCGUGUGGGAUGACGGCUUUCGGGUUGUAAACCACUUUCAGUGAUGACGAAAAUGACGGUAAUCACAGAAGAAGGUCCGGCCAACUACGUGCCAGCAGCCGCGGUAACACGUAGGGACCAAGCGUUGUCCGGAUUUAUUGGGCGUAAAGAGCUCGUAGGCGGUUCAGUUAGUCGGGUGUGAAAACUCUGGGCUCAACCCAGAGACGCCACUCGAUACUGCUGUGACUAGAGUGCGGUAGGGGAGCGGGGAAUUCCUAGUGUAGCGGUGAAAUGCGCAGAUAUUAGGAGGAACACCAGUGGCGAAGGCGCCGCUCUGGGCCGUAACUGACGCUGAGGAGCGAAAGCGUGGGUAGCAAACAGGAUUAGAUACCCUGGUAGUCCACGCCGUAAACGUUGGGCACUAGGUGUGGGUCUCAACCAACGAGAUCCGCGCCGUCGCUAACGCAUUAAGUGCCCCGCCUGGGGAGUACGG
RNAcentral lists this ribosomal RNA (639 nucleotides) under uncultured Actinomycetes bacterium. Its description in RNAcentral is "bacterial SSU rRNA". It matches the Rfam family "Bacterial small subunit ribosomal RNA", at positions 232 to 885 of the family's 1533-position model. The record is from RNAcentral. Lineage: Bacteria; Bacillati; Actinomycetota; Actinomycetes.